AACGAACGCUGGCGGCGCGUCUUAAGCAUGCAAGUCGAGCGGCAAGAUCUAGCAAUAGGUCCUAGAGCGGCGGACUGGUGAGUAACGCGUGGGCAACCUGCCUUUGGGCUGGGGAUAGCCGUUAGAAAUAGCGGGUAAUACCGAAUACGCUUGUGUUGCGGAAGUGAUGCAAGGAAAGGGGCUACGGCCCCACCCGAAGGAUGGCCCGCGUCCCAUUAGCUAGUUGGUGAUGUAAUGGAUUACCAAGGCGAAGAUGGGUAGCCGGCCUGAGAGGGCGAACGGCCACACUGGGACUGAGAUACGGCCCAGACUCCUACGGGAGGCAGCAGCUAAGAAUAUUCCGCAAUGGAGGAAACUCUGACGGAGCGACGCCGCGUGGAUGACGAAGGCCGAAAGGUUGUAAAAUCCUUUUGCGGGCGAAGAAGAAGUGGUGGAGGGAAUGCCAUCACGGUGACGCCGGCCCGCGAAUAAGCCCCGGCUAAUUACGUGCCAGCAGCCGCGGUAACACGUAAGGGGCGAGCGUUGUUCGGAAUUAUUGGGCGUAAAGGGCGCGUAGGCGGCGUGCCAAGUCCGGCGUGAAAUACCGGGGCUCAACCCCGGGGCUGCGCUGGAAACUGGCAUGCUUGAAUCCCGGAGGGGAAGCCGGAAUUCCUGGUGUAGGGGUGAAAUCUGUAGAUAUCAGGAAGAACACCGAUGGCGAAGGCAGGCUUCCAGCCGNGGAUUGACGCUGAGGCGCGAAAGCGCGG
Molecule: ribosomal RNA, 746 nt
Filed under: uncultured bacterium
Lineage: Bacteria
Description: bacterial SSU rRNA
Rfam family: Bacterial small subunit ribosomal RNA
Source: RNAcentral